Molecule: ribosomal RNA, 441 nt
Filed under: uncultured Methylobacteriaceae bacterium
Lineage: Bacteria; Pseudomonadati; Pseudomonadota; Alphaproteobacteria; Hyphomicrobiales; Methylobacteriaceae
Description: bacterial SSU rRNA
Rfam family: Bacterial small subunit ribosomal RNA
Source: RNAcentral
UCCUACGGGCGGCAGCAGUGGGGAAUAUUGGACAAUGGGCGCAAGCCUGAUCCAGCCAUGCCGCGUGAGUGAUGAAGGCCUUAGGGUUGUAAAGCUCUUUUGUCCGGGACGAUAAUGACGGUACCGGAAGAAUAAGCCCCGGCUAACUUCGUGCCAGCAGCCGCGGUAAUACGAAGGGGGCUAGCGUUGCUCGGAAUCACUGGGCGUAAAGGGCGCGUAGGCGGCCGAUUAAGUCGGGGGUGAAAGCCUGUGGCUCAACCACAGAAUUGCCUUCGAUACUGGUUGGCUUGAGACCGGAAGAGGACAGCGGAACUGCGAGUGUAGAGGUGAAAUUCGUAGAUAUUCGCAAGAACACCAGUGGCGAAGGCGGCUGUCUGGUCCGGUUCUGACGCUGAGGCGCGAAAGCGUGGGGAGCAAACAGGAUUAGAUACCCUAGUAGUC